CAACCACCUUUAACAGCUAUAUUCAUAAGCAUUAUCAGAUCAGUGAUCUGGAAGGAAUCCUACCUUCUGACCAUUUGGUGAUUAUGAGGCAUAUAGACAUGUGCUAUAAUGUUCACCUAAAACCAACACCAUAAUAGAGUUCCUCUAAAGUAAACAUGUAAUGAAUGAAGAUAUUCCUUUAAAUGUACCAGCAGAUGGGUAGUUGCCAUAGCAACAGAGGAACACCAGGGGGUGAGAUGAAUUCCUUACUUGGUUGUGGCCACUACUCUUACAUUUCUCACUUCCCCAAUAUUCCCAUUUUCCACCUCUCUGCCUUGACUUGAUUUCUUCCUAAUGAAAUGCCCCUGGGAUGAAGUAAGGUCCAGUUCUAAAUUGCUGAGAAGGAAAAAGAGGGAAAUAUUUAGGACCUACAAUGAACAAGAUAGGUGCCUUGCAUAUGUGGAUUUUGCAGCUGUUUUUUUCUGGAAAGCAACAAAGACAAAAGACAGUCAGCCUUCUCCUAAAGAAGAGACACCAGUCUUACUGCCAUAACACCCACCCCAGCUCAUUCCAUUAUGAGCCCUGCUCCUGGGGCUCUCCUCUUCUGCAGCAAAACCAUUUCCCCUGGACCUAUUCUGUUGGACCUACUCCUUCUCUGAAAACAUUGUCUUUAGGGAGUUUGGAGAGAUUAGGAAAGGAAACAACUUGUCAAGCAUUAACUCACUCCCUGGAGGACCAGCCUGGAAAGCAAUUGCAGCAUCUUGUUACUCAAAAAUAGCUCUGAUACUGCAAUUUGAGGACACUAAAGAAUGAGGAACUACAUAAUAAUAAUGGACACAUAUAGAAUACUUCAAUGUUUAUAAAGUAUUUUACAUGUAUUUGACCUAAACCAGUGUUCUGAGGGAGGAGUCUUUGUGAUUAUAUUAUCCUCAUUUGACAAGUGAAGCCCACAGAGGCUAAGGGACUUGCCCAGGGUCACCUAGUAAAUAGAUGUUAAAAGGUGAGAGUCAAGCCCAGAUCUUCCUCACUCCCAAUCUAACACUUUAUCUCUUAUGCCAUGACAGACCUUAUAUCUAAUGUCAUCUUUAAAAAGUCAUGUAGGGUAUGGAUCAUAUGAACUUAAUUUCUGAACAUGAGAACUGGUUGGCAUUUU
RNAcentral lists this long non-coding RNA (1132 nucleotides) under Monodelphis domestica (gray short-tailed opossum). RNAcentral's name for it is "lncRNA (ENSMODG00000044883.1)". The record is from RNAcentral. Lineage: Eukaryota; Metazoa; Chordata; Mammalia; Didelphimorphia; Didelphidae.